UUUUACUAUUUACAAAUAAUAAUAUUUUAUUACUAAAUUUUAUUUAAAAUUUAAUAUUUCAAAUUUAGUUUAAAUUUAAAUAUUAAAUUUUGAUUUUAAAAAUUGAUAAAGAGUUUAAAAUUUGAUAUUUUAAUUUAAAAUUUUAAAAUUUAUAAAAUUAAUAUUUACAAUUUUAAUGUAAUAUUCAUAUUUAAAUUUAAAAUUUAAAACUUAAAAUUCAAAAUUGAAAUUCAUUAUUUAAAAUUUUAAAAUGUGGAAUUUAAAUUUAAAUUUUAAAUUUUUUAAUUUUAGAACUUGAAAAAUCAAAUUUAAAUCUAAAUAUAAAAUUUGAAAUUUGAAAUAUAAAAUGUAAAAUUAUAAAUCUAAAUUUAAAAUUUUAUACCUGAAUUUUAGUUUUUAAAAUUUAAAGUUUGAAAUAUAAAAAUUAAA
RNAcentral lists this long non-coding RNA (429 nucleotides) under Ananas comosus (pineapple). RNAcentral's name for it is "long non-coding RNA (ACOM_LNC023798)". The record is from RNAcentral. Lineage: Eukaryota; Viridiplantae; Streptophyta; Magnoliopsida; Poales; Bromeliaceae.